UCCGUAGGCGGGUAAUUAAGUCAGAGGUGAAAUCCCACAGCUUAACUGUGGAACUGCCUUAGAUACUGGUUAUCUUGAGUUUUAGUGAAGUAGAUAGAAUGUGUAGUGUAGCGGUGAUAUGCAUAGAUAUUACACAGAAUACCGAUUGCGAAGGCAGUCUACUAACUAACAACUGACGCUAAUGGACGAAAGCGUGGGGAGCGAACAGGAUUAGAUACCCUGGUAGUCC
This 229-nucleotide ribosomal RNA is filed under the name uncultured bacterium. Its description in RNAcentral is "partial 16S ribosomal RNA". It matches the Rfam family "Bacterial small subunit ribosomal RNA", at positions 568 to 796 of the family's 1533-position model. The record is from RNAcentral.